This is a regulatory RNA element of Mesonia phycicola, 28 nucleotides long. It matches the Rfam family "L19-Flavobacteria ribosomal protein leader". NCBI's taxonomy places the organism in Bacteria, Pseudomonadati, Bacteroidota, Flavobacteriia, Flavobacteriales, Flavobacteriaceae. The record is from Rfam.
UAACCUCUGGCGAUCGUCGCGAAUGUUG